This 414-nucleotide long non-coding RNA is filed under the name Gallus gallus (chicken). The record is from RNAcentral. Lineage: Eukaryota; Metazoa; Chordata; Aves; Galliformes; Phasianidae.
CCAUUAUCCUAACAGUGGCACUCUGAACUGUGCUUGAACUCCCAGUGGUGACUGUUCUCAACAACUUGCAGCAAAUUCAAUUUUAAUCAAGGGUAAAAAAAAAAUAAAGAAAAGAAAACCAUGAAGAGGAGGAAAACAAGUAAUGGAAGACUCACUGCUUUUAGAAUGCUGACUGCUUCUUUACUGAGCCAGACUGGAUAUAAGACAUCAUCGUGAAGGAUGGAUUCAAAGAGAUCGUCUUCAUUGUCAGCUUCAAAGGGGGGUUGCCCAGCCAUCAUUUCGUACAUGAGAACACCCAGAGCCCACCAGUCUACUGAAGGGCCAUAUUCUAAUUCCUGGAGGAUCUCUGGAGCUAUAUAGUCAGGUGUACCACAGAAGGUUGUGGUGGUCACUCCAUUCAGAAUCCCUUCUUUG